UUAUGCUAAAAAAUUGGAGCCAAUUAGAACGUCCAGAUUCUUUCGAUGCUUCUGACGGGUACCACUCGCAAGAAUUGUCGUUGGCACUAUAUCAAAGAGAGGAGAUGGCAACUAAGAGGAUGAGCUUGGUUUAUCAGGAUCAAGGAGACAAGGUUGAGUUUUCAGGACCCUUGUUGUCUCAAUCACAUAGAGUCGAUGAGCUCUUAGAGAGGCAUGAGCGGCACAUCCGCCAGGCAGUUCGGAGAUCAUGGUUCCAAAGAGGUAAAAAACAUGGGAAAUGAUCGUAAGGUGUACUUGGGCUCAAGUCACUCGUUUAGAGGAGCACGAAGAUGUAGGACAAUUGCUAACAGAGCUAACAAACCCAACGCUUACACAAAUGAACUGUCAGUUGAAUUCAGUUGAAUGAAAUUUUCUGCAUGAGUACUGAAAAUUGGAUAAAAAAUGACUAGUUUGCAAAGCUCAGACAGAGGCCAUGAAGAGGAAGCCAUCGAUAGCUCAUUCUUUUCUUCUAGCAAAGCAUUCAGUUUUUUUCUAGGUUAUAAUAUCCACUACCUACUUGUUUCCCUCUCAUUUUCUCUUUUUCUUCUUUUUAAGCUUUUCAGAUCGACCAAUUCUCUCCCCGGCAAUGUAUAUAGUGCAUUUCAUAGGUCCUACGGAUGAUCUAUGUAUAUUUCUAUGGUUCAUGAGGCUUCUAGCAUCCGGCUUAUUUCUAUUUUCUUUCUUCUAUUUUUUUGUUGUGGUUUUUUUUAUUAAUGGCUUUGCUGUGGUAAAUAGUUCUGUGACAUUUGUAGGCAAUUUUACAAAUAAUGUUGAACCAUGGCAAUGGGUACA
Molecule: non-coding RNA, 831 nt
Organism: Camellia sinensis
Lineage: Eukaryota; Viridiplantae; Streptophyta; Magnoliopsida; Ericales; Theaceae
Source: RefSeq, a predicted model, not a curated record